UGCUCGCUUCGGCAGCAAUAUACUAAAAUUGGAAGGAUACGGAGAAAAUUAGCAUGGCCCCUGCACAUGGAUGACAAGCAAAUUCAAAAAACGUUCCAUAUUUUU
RNAcentral lists this small nuclear RNA (105 nucleotides) under Mus musculus (house mouse). The record is from RNAcentral. Lineage: Eukaryota; Metazoa; Chordata; Mammalia; Rodentia; Muridae.